GUUCAACCCAAGCUAUUUAAUAAUAGGAUAUAGCUACAAGUACAUCUAUAAAAGUGGAAAAGACAUUUGCCAUGAUGUAUGAUAAAUAUGCAAGAGAUCAGUAAUGCCAUUAACUUGUCUGUCAUUGUAAGGAUGGGCAGACCAAUUGUUGAUCACCAAAUUAGCAAGGGCCAUAUCCCAAUGGCACAAGAUGCAUCCGCCUCCAGAGUUUUCUCACACAUGCAGGGCCGUGACCUUCAGAAUCAGGCAGCUGUACCUAUACGAAAGCAUUUUUGAAGGUGAAAUUCUCUGAGGAAUAAUUCUAACACCAC
Long non-coding RNA from Mauremys reevesii (Reeves's turtle), 311 nucleotides. RefSeq lists it as uncharacterized. NCBI's taxonomy places the organism in Eukaryota, Metazoa, Chordata, Testudines, Geoemydidae. The transcript is spliced from 3 exons. The record is from RefSeq and is a predicted model, not a curated record.